RNAcentral lists this ribosomal RNA (484 nucleotides) under uncultured bacterium. RNAcentral's name for it is "partial 16S ribosomal RNA". It matches the Rfam family "Bacterial small subunit ribosomal RNA", at positions 30 to 507 of the family's 1533-position model. The record is from RNAcentral.
ACUGAACGCUGGCGGCAGGCCUAACACAUGCAAGUCGAGCGGAUGAAGGGAGCUUGCUCCUGGAUUCAGUGGCGGACGGGUGAGUAAUGCCUAGGAAUCUGCCUGGUAGUGGGGGAUAACGUCCGGAAACGGGCGCUAAUACCGCAUACGUCCUGAGGGAGAAAGUGGGGGAUCUUCGGACCUCACGCUAUCAGAUGAGCCUAGGUCGGAUUAGCUAGUUGGUGGGGUAAAGGCCUACCAAGGCGACGAUCCGUAACUGGUCUGAGAGGAUGAUCAGUCACACUGGAACUGAGACACGGUCCAGACUCCUACGGGAGGCAGCAGUGGGGAAUAUUGGACAAUGGGCGAAAGCCUGAUCCAGCCACGCCGCGUGUGUGAAGAAGGUCUUCGGAUUGUAAAGCACUUUAAGUUGGGAGGAAGGGCAGUAAGUUAAUACCUUGCUGUUUUGACGUUACCAACAGAAUAAGCACCGGCUAACUUCGUG